GACCUGACUGCUGAUGACACGGACACCUGGUGUGUGACUCCGGGUGUCAUGUGCAGGACCUGACUGCUGAUGACGUGGACUCCUGGUGUGUGACUCCGGGUGUUCACAUGCAGGAUCUGACUGCUGAUGACACGGACUCCCAGCCCGUCCACAGGAAGCACAAAAGGCAGCUGAGGACAUGCUAAGAUCCUUUGCUCCCAAAAAUUUGGCCUUCAAACUCCUCGCCACUCUGUGUCCACCAACUCCAAUCCAUAAUAUCCCAAUAUUUCCCAAACAGAUCAGUCCCCAGAAUUGGAAGACCCCUGGUGAGCUGGCUCUAAAGUUGCCGUAACUUCCCUGACGUAGCUCCAGCGCCUCCAGACCGGUCUCACACUUUACUGCCGUCACAGCGUGGUGAUGCCGUCGCAGCCUCGCCGUGGUCUGUGGUUUGUGUAGCGUGGUCUGCAUGAGCGUGUCUGCUCGGUGACAGAUCACUCCAAGUUGUUGCAAUCCAUUCUACUUUGGGAGUUACUAGUGUCAGACAUUCUUACACAUCGGGGACAUCGGGUGUGACAGCCUUCCACAGAGCAUUGGUAGCUUUGGAAAAGGCAGAUAUUAGUUCUUUUAAAAGUGGAAUAUUUUCAUCAUCAUCAAAAGUACAAAGAGUGAAUUCUCGCUCGCUUGUUUGUCAUCGAUGUGAACAGUUGCUCCAUGUUCAGCGUAGUAAGUAUGUAAUCAUUUUUCCAUUUGUUGUUGAUUUCAACUGUGGCCUUUUACAUCCGAAUUGUUUUGCCAGUUGUCAAUCUGUAAGCAAUAAAAACCCCCAAAUUUCAUUCCUUACAAUACAACCAUCAUGGCGUGGACAUUUGCACAGAGGCUGAGACAGUGCUUGGGACCCAUGCCUGGGGUCAGCGGGCCCUAUUCCAGCUUCCUGCUCUGUGCACUCCGGGAGCCAGAGGGGAGGGCUCAGAUAGCUGCAUGUCUUCCACCCACCUGGGAGACUUGGAUUUAGUUCUGGGCACUGGCUUCAGCUGGGCCCAGUCUAGGCUGUUGGGGGCAUUUGGGGAGUGACCCAGCGGAUGGGGAAAUCUCAAUCUCAAUCUCUCUCUCUCUCCCUUCAUCUCUGUGUCUGUCUAUGAUAUUCAGAUAAAUAAAAAAUAAUAAACAAAAAUUUGAAGUCA
Molecule: long non-coding RNA, 1160 nt
Filed under: Oryctolagus cuniculus (rabbit)
Lineage: Eukaryota; Metazoa; Chordata; Mammalia; Lagomorpha; Leporidae
Description: lncRNA (ENSOCUG00000036501.1)
Source: RNAcentral